CUCUUUCUUAUACUAGAAUUUAAUAUUUUUGUGAAGAAGCAGAAAUAAAUUCGUAGGACGAGAAGACCCUAUCGAGCUUUAACAAAUUUGUUAAUAAUUAGCUAAUACAAGGAAUCUAAUUAAGUUAUAUUAUAAUACAAUAAAUUUAGUUAUUUGUAUGUUAUUAUCUAAUAGAAUAGUUUUGAUUGGGGCAAUCGCGGAGUAAAAAAAACCUCCGUUAAAAGUAUUAAAAAUUACUAUUUUUAUUAAAUGACCCGCUGUUUAGCGAGCAAAGGAAUAAGUUACCGUAGGGAUAACAGCGUAAUUUUUUUGGAGAGUUCAUAUUGAUAAAAAAGUUUGCGACCUCGAUGUUGGAUCGAGAUUUCCUARAAAUGCAGCAGUUUCUAAGGGUUGGUCUGUUCAACCAUUAAAAUCUU
RNAcentral lists this ribosomal RNA (416 nucleotides) under Amphiaster insignis. RNAcentral describes it as "partial 16S ribosomal RNA". The record is from RNAcentral. Lineage: Eukaryota; Metazoa; Echinodermata; Asteroidea; Valvatida; Asterodiscididae.